Molecule: ribosomal RNA, 655 nt
Filed under: uncultured Enterobacteriaceae bacterium
Lineage: Bacteria; Pseudomonadati; Pseudomonadota; Gammaproteobacteria; Enterobacterales; Enterobacteriaceae
Description: bacterial SSU rRNA
Rfam family: Bacterial small subunit ribosomal RNA
Source: RNAcentral
CCGGAGCUAACGCGUUAAAUCGACCGCUGGGGAGUACGGCCGCAAGGUUAAAACUCAAAUGAAUUGACGGGGGCCCGCACAGCGGUGGAGCAUGUGGUUUAAUUCGAUGCAACGCGAAGAACCUUACCUGGUCUUGACAUCCAUAGAAUCUUUCAGAGAUGAGAGAGUGCCUUCGGGAGCUAUGAGACAGGUGCUGCAUGGCUGUCGUCAGCUCGUGUUGUGAAAUGUUGGGUUAAGUCCCGCAACGAGCGCAACCCCUAUCCUUUGUUGCCAGCACGUAAUGGUGGGAACUCAAAGGAGACUGCCGUUGAUAAAGCGGAGGAAGGUGGGGACGACGUCAAGUCAUCAUGGCCCUUACGACCAGGGCUACACACGUGCUACAAUGGCGUAUACAAAGGGAUGCGAAGGUGCGAACUGGAGCGGACCUCACAAAGUACGUCUAAGUCCGGAUUGGAGUCUGCAACUCGACUCCAUGAAGUCGGAAUCGCUAGUAAUCGUGAAUCAGAAUGUCACGGUGAAUACGUUCCCGGGCCUUGUACACACCGCCCGUCACACCAUGGGAGUGGGUUGCACCAGAAGUAGAUAGCUUAACCUUCGGGAGGGCGUUUACCACGGUGUGGUUCAUGACUGGGGUGAAGUCGUAACAAGGUAACCA